AGUGACACAGAGAUUAAUGUACUCAGCUGCUAACUGAAAGGUCAGUGGUUCAAAUCCACUAGGCACUG
This 68-nucleotide transfer RNA is filed under the name Loxodonta africana (African savanna elephant). It matches the Rfam family "tRNA". From Rfam's summary of the family: Transfer RNA (tRNA) molecules are approximately 80 nucleotides in length. Their secondary structure includes four short double-helical elements and three loops (D, anti-codon, and T loops). Lineage: Eukaryota; Metazoa; Chordata; Mammalia; Proboscidea; Elephantidae. The record is from Rfam by way of RNAcentral.